UAUUGCACAAUGGGCGGAAGCCUGAUGCAGCGACGCCGCGUGAGUGAAGAAGUAUCUCGGUAUGUAAAGCUCUAUCAGCAGGGAAGAAAAUGACGGUACCUGACUAAGAAGCUCCGGCUAACUACGUUCCAGCAGCCGCGGUAAUACGUAGGGGGCAAGCGUUAUCCGGAUUUACUGGGUGUAAAGGGAGCGUAGACGGCGACGCAAGUCUGGAGUGAAAGCCCGGGGCCCAACCCCGGGACUGCCUUGGAAACUGUGCUGCUGGAGUGCAGGAGAGGUAAGUGGAAUUCCUAGUGUAGCGGUGAAAUGCGUAGAUAUUAGGAGGAACACCAGUGGCGAAGGCGGCUCUCUGGUCUGUAACUGACGCUGAGGUUCGAAAGCGUGGGUAGCAAACAG
This 396-nucleotide ribosomal RNA is filed under the name uncultured bacterium. RNAcentral describes it as "bacterial SSU rRNA". It matches the Rfam family "Bacterial small subunit ribosomal RNA", at positions 362 to 775 of the family's 1533-position model. The record is from RNAcentral.